This 403-nucleotide ribosomal RNA is filed under the name bacterium. RNAcentral's name for it is "partial 16S ribosomal RNA". It matches the Rfam family "Bacterial small subunit ribosomal RNA", at positions 355 to 776 of the family's 1533-position model. The record is from RNAcentral.
CGGGGAAUAUUGCACAAUGGAGGGAACUCUGAUGCAGCGACGCCGCGUGAACGAAGAAGGCUUUCGAGUCGUAAAGUUCUUUUAUAUGGGAAGAUAAUGACGGUACCAUAAGAAAAAGCCCCGGCUAACUACGUGCCAGCAGCCGCGGUAAUACGUAGGGGGCUAGCGUUGUCCGGAAUCACUGGGCGUAAAGGGUUCGCAGGCGGAAAUGCAAGUCAGGUGUAAAAGGCAGUAGCUUAACUACUGUAAGCAUUUGAAAUUGCAUAUCUUGAGAAGAGUAGAGGUAAGUGGAAUUUUUAGUGUAGAGGUGAAAUGCGUAGAUAUUAAAAAGAAUACCGGUGGCGAAGGCGACUUACUGGGCGCAUUCUGACGCUGAGGAACGAAAGCGUGGGUAGCAAACAGG